RNAcentral lists this ribosomal RNA (388 nucleotides) under uncultured bacterium. Its description in RNAcentral is "bacterial SSU rRNA". It matches the Rfam family "Bacterial small subunit ribosomal RNA", at positions 28 to 417 of the family's 1533-position model. The record is from RNAcentral.
GACGAACGCUGGCGGCGUGCUUAACACAUGCAAGUCGAGCGGUAAGGCCCUUUCGGGGGUACACGAGCGGCGAACGGGUGAGUAACACGUGGGUGACCUGCCCUCAGCUCUGGGAUAAGCCUGGGAAACCGGGUCUAAUACUGGAUAUGACUCCAUGACGCAUGUUGUGGGGUGGAAAGCCUUGUGCGGCUGAGGAUGGGCCCGCGGCCUAUCAGCUUGUUGGUGGGGUGANGGCCUACCAAGGCGACGACGGGUAGCCGGCCUGAGAGGGCGACCGGCCACACUGGGACUGAGACACGGCCCGGACUCCUACGGGAGGCAGCAGUGGGGAAUCUUGCGCAAUGGGCGAAAGCCUGACGCAGCGACGCCGCGUGAGGGAUGACGGCCU